GGGCCGGUAGUUCAGCUUGGCAUGAACGCCUGGCUUGCAUCCAGGAGGACGCGGGUUCAAAUCCCGCCCGGUCCACCA
This 78-nucleotide transfer RNA is filed under the name Candidatus Bathyarchaeota archaeon. RNAcentral's name for it is "tRNA-Ala". It matches the Rfam family "tRNA". From Rfam's summary of the family: Transfer RNA (tRNA) molecules are approximately 80 nucleotides in length. Their secondary structure includes four short double-helical elements and three loops (D, anti-codon, and T loops). The record is from RNAcentral. RNAcentral also lists the same sequence under 2 other names. Lineage: Archaea; Thermoproteati; Candidatus Bathyarchaeota.